This 73-nucleotide transfer RNA is filed under the name Candidatus Ozemibacter sibiricus. Its description in RNAcentral is "Candidatus Ozemobacter sibiricus tRNA-Val". It matches the Rfam family "tRNA". From Rfam's summary of the family: Transfer RNA (tRNA) molecules are approximately 80 nucleotides in length. Their secondary structure includes four short double-helical elements and three loops (D, anti-codon, and T loops). RNAcentral also lists the same sequence under 2 other names. Lineage: Bacteria; Candidatus Rifleibacteriota; Candidatus Ozemibacteria; Candidatus Ozemibacteraceae. The record is from RNAcentral.
GGGCGGUUAGCUCAGUUGGCAGAGCGCUUGCCUUACACGCAAGUGGUCGGCGGUUCGAACCCGUCAUCGCCCA